GCCCGGCGCGGGGAGGGCCGGGGGCUCUUCUCUGCGCUGCGACGCUCCGCCCCCGCUCCCGGCCGGGGCCCCGUGCAGCCUUUGGCGGCGCUCAGCAAUCUCCAGUGGCGCGGCCUUUACCAUCCAAGUUUGGAGGGAUGACAGUGUACACUGCCAAGAUAACUGGAUUGGAAGGGUUCCAGUUCAAGCUAGCACACUUUUCCUAUUCCUCCACCCACCUCUGACCUCCGACCUCCAGGGCCUGCUGCUGAAUUGGCAUAUUUGUUCUGCCAGGCUCCUUCUGUGUGGACCACUCAGCAAGGUAUAUUCCUAGUACCAAUGGUGUGCUGGAGCUGACUCAUACCAAAUUACAAUUGCAAUAGCCAAUUGUUGAACUUCAGGAAUUUUGAAAGCUGGUGAUAAUGCCCAGCUACUAUUAAAAAUUAAAUUAUAUCUUUGACAUAAAUCACAGCAAGAUCCUUUUUCACCCACCUCCUAGAGAAAUGGAAAUAAAAACGAAAAUAAACAAAUGGGACCUAAUGAAACUUAAAAGCUUUUGCACAGCAAAGGAAACCAUAAACAAGACGAAAAGACAACUCUCAGAAUGGGAGAAAAUAUUUGCAAAUGAAGCAACUGACAAAGGAUUAAUCUCCAAAAUUUACAAGCAGCUCAUGCAGCUCAAUAUCAAAAAAACAAACAACCCAGUCCAAAAAUGGGCAGAAGACCUAAAUAGACAUUUCUCCAAAGAGGAUAUACAGAUUGCCAACAAACACAUGAAAGAAUGCUCAACAUCAUUAAUCAUUAGAGAAAUGCAAAUCAAAACUACAAUGAUACAAUGAGGUAUCACCUCACACCAGUCAGAAUGGCCAUCAUCAAAAAAUCUACAAACAAUAAAUGCUGGAGAGGUUGUGGAGAAAAGGGAACCCUCUUGCACUGUUGGUGGGAAUGUAAAUUGAUACAGCCACUAUGGAGAACAGUAUGGAGGUUCCUUAAAAAACUAAAAGUAGAACUACCAUAUGACCCAGCAAUCCCACUACUGGGCAUAUACCCUGAGAAAACCAUAAUUCAAAAAGAGUCAUGUACCAAAAUGUUCAUUGCAGGGCUUCCCUGGUGGCACAGUGGUUGAGAGUUCACCUGCCAACGCAGGGGAUACAGGUUCGUGCCCUGGUCCAGGAGGAUCCCACAUGCCGCGGAGCGGCUGGGCCCGUGAACCAUGGCCGCUGAGCCUGCGCGUCCGGAGCCUGUGCUCCACAACGGGAGAGGCCACAACAGUGAGAGGCCCGCGUACCACCAAAAAAAAAAAAAAAAAAAAUGUUCAUUGCAGCUCUAUUUACAAUAGCCAGGACAUGGAAGCAACCUAAGUGUCCAUCAACAGAUGAAUGGAUAAAGAAGAUGUGGCACAUAUCUGCAAUGGAAUAUUACUCAGCCAUGAAAAGGAACAAAACUGAGUUAUUUGUAGUGAGGUGGAUGGACCUAGAGACUGUCAUUCAGAGUGAAGUCAGAAAGAGAAGAACAAAUACCAAAUGCUAACACAGAUAUAUGGAAUCUAAAGAAAAAAAAAAAGAAAGUGGUCAUGAAGAACCUAGGGGCAAGACUGGACUAAAGAUGCAGACCUACUAGAGAAUGGACUUGAGGACAUGGGGAGGGGGAAGGGUAAGCUGGGACAAAGUGAGAGAGUGGCAUGGACAUAUAUACACUACCAAACGUAAAAUAGAUAGCUAGUGGGAAGCAGCCGCAUAGCACAGGGAGAUCAGUUCGGUGCUUUGU
Molecule: long non-coding RNA, 1746 nt
Organism: Orcinus orca (killer whale)
Lineage: Eukaryota; Metazoa; Chordata; Mammalia; Artiodactyla; Delphinidae
Exons: 3
Source: RefSeq, a predicted model, not a curated record